This 428-nucleotide unclassified non-coding RNA is filed under the name Hevea brasiliensis (rubber tree). The record is from RNAcentral. Lineage: Eukaryota; Viridiplantae; Streptophyta; Magnoliopsida; Malpighiales; Euphorbiaceae.
GGCGCUUUAUGUACAUCAUAAGAUCAGAUGCUGGGCAGCCUUUAAGAGAAGAACUUGCAAAAUCACCGGAAAAGAUAAUUGCAAGUGCUUUUCCUGAAUUUAUUGCUAAAUCUGAUGCAUCUGCUGGACAAGAAUCUUUGAGUCGGCCAAGCACUUCUACUGGUGAUGAAGGCCUUGGUACUCCUCAAGUCGAGGCUUCUAUUCCUUCAGCUUCAACUAAUGUGGCUCCUCAAGAUGCUUAUUUCCAGGGUCUUUCCUUAGUGAAAACUUUGGUCAAGUUGAUGCCCAACUGGUUACAGAACAACCGUUGUAUCUUUGAUACUCUGGUACUAAUGUGGAAGUCACCAGCAAGAAUCUCCCGUCUGCAGAAUGAGCAGGAAUUAAAUUUAGUUCAGGUCAAAGAGAGCAAAUGGCUUGUCAAAUGCUUC